RNAcentral lists this ribosomal RNA (518 nucleotides) under uncultured eukaryote. RNAcentral's name for it is "bacterial SSU rRNA". It matches the Rfam family "Eukaryotic small subunit ribosomal RNA", at positions 21 to 549 of the family's 1831-position model. The record is from RNAcentral.
UAGUCAUAUGCUUGUCUCAAAGACUAAGCCAUGCAUGUCUGAGUUUAAAUGCUAAACAAUGAAACUGCGAAUGGCUCAUUAAAACAGUUAUAGUUUAUUUGGUAAUCGAAUUUACAUGGAUAACCGCGGUAAUUCUAGAGCUAAUACAUGCAGGUGAGCCCUACUUUGCGGACGGGCUGUAUUUAUUAGAUAACAGACCAAUAUUCUUCGUGUCUAUUGUGGUGAAUCAUAGUAACUGAUCGGAUCGCAUGGGCCUGUCCCGCGACAAACCAUUCAAGUUUCUGCCCCAUCAGCUCGCUGGUAGUGUAUUGGACUACCAUGGCUUUUACGGGUAACGGAGGAUUAGGGUUCGAUUCCGGAGAGGGAGCCUGAGAAACGGCUACCACAUCUAAGGAAGGCAGCAGGCGCGUAAAUUACCCAAUACUAAUUCAGUGAGGUAGUGACAAGAAAUAACAGACCAUGGGUUCUACCCUGGGACUGCAAUGAGCCUAAUUUACACCCCUUAGCGAGGAUCAAUU